RNAcentral lists this ribosomal RNA (561 nucleotides) under Isophya aff. sureyai BG-2015. Its description in RNAcentral is "SSU rRNA". It matches the Rfam family "Eukaryotic small subunit ribosomal RNA", at positions 720 to 1163 of the family's 1831-position model. The record is from RNAcentral. Lineage: Eukaryota; Metazoa; Arthropoda; Insecta; Orthoptera; Tettigoniidae. RNAcentral also lists the same sequence under 1 other name.
AUGAUUCGUGGGACGUCCUGCCGGUGGUGGCGAGUCGAAGGCGUGCUCCCGUUGUGGUUUCCACUUCGGUUCUUGCGCGCCCGAGGCGGACCCCGAUGAAAUCCUACCGCGGUGCUCUUCGCCGAGUGUCGAGGUGGGCCGGCACGUUUACUUUGAACAAAUUAGAGUGCUUAAAGCAGGCCUGUUGCGCCUGAAUACUGUGUGCAUGGAAUAAUGGAAUAGGACCUCGGUUCUAUUUUGUUGGUUUUCGGAACCCGAGGUAAUGAUUAAUAGGGACAGGCGGGGGCAUUCGUAUUGCGACGUUAGAGGUGAAAUUCUUGGAUCGUCGCAAGACGGACCGAAGCGAAAGCAUUUGCCAAGUAUGUUUUCAUUAAUCAAGAACGAAAGUUAGAGGUUCGAAGGCGAUCAGAUACCGCCCUAGUUCUAACCAUAAACGAUGCCAGCUAGCGAUCCGCCGAAGUUCCUCCGAUGACUCGGCGGGCAGCUCCCGGGAAACCAAAGCUUUUGGGUUCCGGGGGAAGUAUGGUUGCAAAGCUGAAACUUAAAGGAAUUGACGGAAGG